CCUACGGGAGGCAGCAGUGAGGAAUAUUGGUCAAUGGACGAGAGUCUGAACCAGUCAAGUAACGUGAAGGAUGACUGCCCUAUGGGUUGUAAACUUCUUUUAUAUGGGAAUAAAAUGUUCCACGUGUGGGAUUUUGUAUGUACCAUAUGAAUAAGGAUCGGCUAACUCCGUGCCAGCAGCCGCGGUAAUACGGAGGAUCCGAGCGUUAUCCGGAUUUAUUGGGUUUAAAGGGAGCGUAGGUGGAUUGUUAAGUCAGUUGUGAAAGUUUGCGGCUCAACCGUAAAAUUGCAGUUGAAACUGGCAGUCUUGAGUACAGUAGAGGUGGGCGGAAUUCGUGGUGUAGCGGUGAAAUGCUUAGAUAUCACGAAGAACUCCGAUUGCGAAGGCAGUUCACUGGACUGCAACUGACACUGAGGCUCGAAAGUGUGGGUAUCAAACAGGAUUAGAUACCACUGUAGUC
RNAcentral lists this ribosomal RNA (460 nucleotides) under uncultured bacterium. RNAcentral's name for it is "partial 16S ribosomal RNA". It matches the Rfam family "Bacterial small subunit ribosomal RNA", at positions 338 to 795 of the family's 1533-position model. The record is from RNAcentral.